RNAcentral lists this unclassified non-coding RNA (262 nucleotides) under Hevea brasiliensis (rubber tree). Lineage: Eukaryota; Viridiplantae; Streptophyta; Magnoliopsida; Malpighiales; Euphorbiaceae. The record is from RNAcentral.
UACUUUAAAGAGACUCAAACAAAAACUGAAGGACAAGUGCACUUCUACCCAGUAAUUUUUGUAAGCAUAUCAUCAGAAUACAAACUCAGUGACAUGUUGCAUCUAGCUUGUUCUUCAUUAGAUUCAGUGCUUCAAUGAGGUAUGACAAUCCUUAAAAGCACUAUUAACCUAUUUUCUAGGACAUGUUGGUUGAAGCUUCUAAUAUUGAUUUUCAACUAAAGGUAUUUUGUAAAAAAAAAUAAUUUUGUAAACUCUGUAAAUG